RNAcentral lists this transfer RNA (69 nucleotides) under Asymmetron lucayanum. Its description in RNAcentral is "tRNA-Trp". Lineage: Eukaryota; Metazoa; Chordata; Leptocardii; Amphioxiformes; Branchiostomatidae. The record is from RNAcentral.
AAGGAGUUAGGUUAAGUAGAGACCCUUAGCCUUCAAAGCUGAUAGUGGAAGUAUCUAUUCCAGUCCUUA